Molecule: unclassified non-coding RNA, 388 nt
Filed under: uncultured fungus
Lineage: Eukaryota; Fungi
Description: partial contains small subunit ribosomal RNA, internal transcribed spacer 1, and 5.8S ribosomal RNA
Rfam family: Eukaryotic small subunit ribosomal RNA (bases 1-73)
Source: RNAcentral
CCAAACUUGGUCAUUUAGAGGAAGUAAAAGUCGUAACAAGGUCUCCGUUGGUGAACCAGCGGAGGGAUCAUUACAGAGUUGCAAAACUCCAAACCCAUGUGAACAUACCUCGUGUUGCCUCGGCGGCGAGCGUAUAGUGCUCGGGAGGUCCCUACCCGGGACCUACCCUUGAGCUACCCUGUAGCUGCCUACCCGGUAGCUGCGAGCGGUACCUACCCUGGAGCUACCCGGUACUAACCUACCCGGUAGCUACUAUGGAGGGCUUGCGCAUCCGCCGAAGGACCACUUAAACUCUUGUUUCUGUGUGGCACAUCUGAGUUAUUAUAUUUAAUAAGUCAAAACUUUCAACAACGGAUCUCUUGGUUCUGGCAUCGAUGAAGAACGCAGC